Molecule: ribosomal RNA, 431 nt
Filed under: uncultured bacterium
Lineage: Bacteria
Description: partial 16S ribosomal RNA
Rfam family: Bacterial small subunit ribosomal RNA
Source: RNAcentral
CCUACGGGUGGCAGCAGUAAGGAAUAUUGGUCAAUGGACGCAAGUCUGAACCAGCCAUGCCGCGUGGAGGAUGAAGGCCCUUGGGUUGUACUCUUUAGAACACUUCGUAGCGGUACCAGAUGAAUAAGCACCGGCUAACUCCGUGCCAGCAGCCGCGGUAAUACGGAGGGUGCAAGCGUUAUCCGGAUUCACUGGGUUUAAAGGGUGCGUAGGUGGGCAGGUAAGUCAGUGGUGAAAUCUCUAAGCUUAACUUAGAAACUGCCGUUGAUACUAUCUGUCUUGAAUAUCGUGGAGGUGAGCGGAAUAUGUCAUGUAGCGGUGAAAUGCUUAGAUAUGACAUAGAACACCAAUUGCGAAGGCAGCUCGCUACCGUUAUUGACACUGAGGCACGAAAGCGUGGGGAUCAAACAGGAUUAGAUACCCUAGUAGUC